This 876-nucleotide long non-coding RNA is filed under the name Capra hircus (goat). Its description in RNAcentral is "lncRNA (ENSCHIG00010003804.1)". Lineage: Eukaryota; Metazoa; Chordata; Mammalia; Artiodactyla; Bovidae. The record is from RNAcentral.
GCAGCCUCGCUAAAGGGCACAUUGUUCUGCACUGAGAGGCCUCUGUGCCAUGUGUUUUGAUACACUUUAAAGUUCAUAGAAUCAGGGAGUCUGGAUUCAGAAGGGGUCUGAGAAGGUCAUUCAAAUCUGUCUUUCCUCUUCCUAUUUUAUCUUUAUACAGACAAACACAUUCAAGUCAACAAGUCAUUUUAAACAGUUACCCUGUCUAGAGUGCCUGGGACAAGAAUAAGCGAAAGGAGCCAUGAACCUAAGCCUUUGCCUGGAGUGGGCAGCAAAGCCUUUUCAGAAAAGGUAGGAGGUAAAGUGGAAAGUAUUGUUUAGACUGGAUCUGGGCAACUGUGUCAGGAGAGCAUGUGAGGCAGAGGAAAUUAGAUGCAAGAAUGUGCAGAGGCGGGAAGAACAAAGCCGGCCAGUGAGACAUCACAUCGGUGUGCAAGCUGGAUCUGAUAGAAAAUUCACAGAAAGAGGAGGCGGUAAGGAUUUUAGAAACUUGAUGGAAGUUGCAAAAUCAUCACUGUGGCAGGUAAGAAGGUUAUGCUUUCUACCACAUUCUCUCACUAUUUUGUCAAACUUUCCCAUAAUCCUAAAACUGAUCAAGACUACUCUUUUGAUAUACCAAAAUCAAGCAAAUCAUGACACAUGAUUAAUGAGUUAUUUUCAGAUAAAUGUAUUAUAACUAUAUGGAAUAAAGUGGGCUGCUCAAUCUUUGUGCAUGCUCAGUCGUUCAGUCCUGUCUGACUAUUUGCUGUCCCAUGGACUGUAUCCCGCCACGCACCUCUGUCCAUGGAAUUUUCCAGGCAAGAAGACUGGUUGCCAUUUCCUAUGCCAGGGGAUCUUCGUGACUUGGGGAUGGAACCCAUGUCUGCUGCAUUUCCU